RNAcentral lists this transfer RNA (75 nucleotides) under Polaribacter sp. Its description in RNAcentral is "tRNA-Glu". It matches the Rfam family "tRNA". From Rfam's summary of the family: Transfer RNA (tRNA) molecules are approximately 80 nucleotides in length. Their secondary structure includes four short double-helical elements and three loops (D, anti-codon, and T loops). Lineage: Bacteria; Pseudomonadati; Bacteroidota; Flavobacteriia; Flavobacteriales; Flavobacteriaceae. The record is from RNAcentral.
GGCCCCAUCGUCUAGUGGUUAGGACAUCAGGUUUUCAUCCUGGAAACAGGGGUUCGAUUCCCCUUGGGGCUACCA